UUACAAGGAAUUUAGAGGUGAUAGUGGUGAGGACUCCCAUCGAGUUUUGGCCAAGUCACGCUAAAUGUGCUUGUCAUAUGAGGACGUGGAGUCUAAAAGUUUAACCCAGCUCGGGAGGUCCUUGACCACGCUAGGGAACCACAUGGUGGCUACGCAGCCAGAGGAGAAUCAAUUCAAUAAAAAAAAGAAUUAGUUCGAAAUAGGAAAAGAGGAAAUUCAGAUGAUAAAACAUGUUCGGUGCAACGACACUUACGUCUCAUAUUCCAUUCCUCAGGGAAUGGCAUCUUCUCGGCAAGGAUGAGCUCUGAAGUCCUAACUCGAAUGAAGCGGCUCAUCCACCUCCGGUCUUUAUCUUCGUUAGUAUUUGCAAAAAAUUCUUUGUUAGAUCGACGCUGCAGUUUGACUAGGCCCCCUUGAUAGAGACAAAGGCUAUACAAUCUAACCAAAUGAUCGAGGGUGAAGGGCAUCCCCUCGACCAUGUUCAAGAAAUGUCUAAUCAAAAAGACGAUUUUCCAAAAAGAGGGAUAAAUUUCACCAAGCGUCGCUCGACAUUUUCGACAAAAAAUCAAGGAUCAUCGGGUCUAUCGGUGGAGAAGAAGAAUCUACAUGACCUAAGGUAAAGGGAUAUGUAUGUACGUUGAGGAAACCAGGUCCGUGUGUGAUUAAAGAAGGGAUCUCUACUUGUACCGCCUCUCCCCAGCGGUAAUAUAUUUUCACCUUCUCUAUGUCGUUUAUUAGACUAAUGUAUCUAGAAUGGGCUCGCAUCGGUCCGGUAUCGAAGAAGGUUAAUCAAUUUUAAAAUCGGAGAAUGUAUCGAAGGACCCAGGAACACACUCCUCAACACUAGGAGGCACUACCUUUUUGCUCUUAGACGAAUGUGACGAAGAAGGGGCUUCCCCUUUUUAAGUACUGUCUUAGAUGUUUUGUCCAUGGUUAUAACAAAGUUUCAAAGCAAGCUGACGGAGAAGUGAACAAAGAAGAAGGGUGAAUGCAGGAAACUGUUAAUGGAGAUUUGAAGAUCUUAAGAUGUCGCAAAGGUUUAAAAGAUAUGGAAUUGGAGUAUUUAUAAGUCAUCUAAGUAAAUUAGAGGAGUUGAAAGAGAGACCAAUAGAGGUUCAUGGGCUUUCCGAGAGCCGUGUUGACAAGACCUCUGUACAAUUUUUCUAUCGCAUUGUUUAACAAUCUCACAUGGUUGAUUUUACAAUGGGGGUAUCAGGGAUCCAAGAACUCAAGAUCGUUUCUUAUCAUUUCAUUCUAAGAAACGCAAGGACAAUCUAUAUACGGCCAAAAUCGGAGAGUUCGACUUUGGGGCUACUUUGGAACUCCACUCCCAACCUUGAGGAGCUCGAAGUGGAAUUUGAAGUGUAACCCCUGAGGUGCAUCCCUUGAGGGAGUAUAUUGAAGGACAAUCUUGGAGCAGCACAAAUCGAUGAUCUUCAUGUAAAGGCGAGUAGGCUCCCGAGGACACGUGGUUAGACUCGACCAAGUCUACAAGAAUAGUACAAAUCCGUACUAAGUCAUUAUACAGUUGUACUAGUAGCAUUUCCCCAUCAUUAUUAGAUAUGUACCAUGUGGAGAUUCCCCAUUCAUAUAUAAAGGGGACCCUUGUCAUUUUGUAAAGGGAGACGACACAUUGUUGAAUACAAUAGAACAUUCUCUGCUCUUCUUGCUUAAACGUGCUCGGCAAUUACUCUAUAGAUUUAUUGCUUGUUCUUUCAUUGUUCAUUUAUUAUUCUUCAUUUAUUUCCCAUUAUUAACCGCAAAAGGCUAUCUUUGAGGCUUUCAUUAUCAUUGUUUCUUCGUCAAUUGUUCAUUGCUAACUUCCCUAACUACCUCGAAGCCCCAACUCCAGCCAACUCGGCUCAGUUUUGUGAUAGCUUUGGUUUACAUUUUUUAUUCUCUUUAUUUAUACUUAGCAUAUAUUGCCUAACAACUAGUAUUGAAAUAAAUCAUGUAUUUUUAGAACUACAAAAUAAAAUACAAUUGUCAAUACCAUACUCAAGGUAAACAAAUUUGAAUAGCACAAUUCUUCAAUUUUUAAAGCUGAAAAUUCUUGUUUGGUUGUGAAUAAUAGAAGUUAAUGAUUGAUUACUGUUAAAAUUAUCUAAAUGGGGAUAAUUUGUGCUUAACUUUUUAGUUCCAACACAGUUUUGGUGAUUGACUCUAAAAAUCUCAAAACUUAUUAUUUGGCUACAGAAAGUAACAAAGAAGUCAAAGUGCAUUAUUUGAUUUGGUAUUGUUUUACUAAAUUGGUGAUUGAAGAUCAUUUGUGUAGAUAUUUGAAAGCUUUGUUUCAAAUUUGAGAUCAUUUGAAGAAGAUUUUGAGUGGUUAAAGUUACAAAUUUGAAAAAUAAUUUUUUAAAACAACCAAAAAGUAGCAUGCAAACCGGGUAUAAUUCGAUGAACGACUUAAUAGAUAGGUAGAUAAAUAUAGCAUCAACUCCACUAACCCGGUAGACAAUCCUUGAAGAGUAAAACUACGACAAUUAGAUAAACUUCAAUGAACAACUUAAUAACUAGGUAGAGUAAUAAUAGCACCAACUCUUCAAUCUGGUAGAGAAAUCCUAAAGAGCAUAAGUAUGACAAUCAGAUAGACUUUAAUAAAAAAAAUUAAUUUAAUCCGGUGGAGAAACCCUCAAAGAGCUAUGCGCCGGUUCGAGAGCCAUCUUUUAAAUACUGCUUGUGGGGCCAUUACUGUCAAUCUCCAAUGCUAAUUAGGCCUUCUUGUGUUGGCCCGACAGAAAGGUUUAAGGCAAAUACUUUAGGAAAACUACCAGCUAUAUUCAUUUAUAAGUAGCUUAUUAUAAAAUUCGUCAAUUUAUACAAUAUUACUAAUAUAAGACAAAUAUUACUAAUAUUAGCUAAUUAGAUAUUUGUAGCAAACAAAUGUCAGAUUUUUUCUUUAUUUUUAGUGGGUAUUAUUGGAAUAGAUUGGGUACCUCUUAAAGAACUUGAAUCUCAGUUUUGGGAUGAUUUGGUAAAUUUUUGAGAUUGUUGAAAUUAAAAAUUCGAAGUAAAAACUGAACUUGAAAAAAAAAAGAUAUAUAUAUAUAUAUAUAUAUAUGUGUGUGUGUGUGUGUGUGUGUGUGUGUGUGUGUGUGUGUCAUAGACAUGUUAUAUAAAAUGUUGAUUGUUAUUUAAACCUCUAUACACGUUUGCCUAGUGAUGGAUACGUAUGCAAUAUUCAGGAAGCCCUAUAGACAUGCUCUCUAUAUGAUAGGCAGAAAUGCAGCACCAUAUAGACAUAUUGUCUAUGCCGGUUGCAAAAGAUAUAUAUAUAUAUAUAUAUAUAUAUGUGUGUGUGUGUCAUUUAUGUAUCUCAUAUGUAUCAUAUUUAUAUCAAUUGUGUAUCACAUGUAUAUCUAUGUAUACCUGUGUGUGAAAUACAUGCACGAACGUUUUUGAUAUAUGUGUCGCAGAAGAAUUUUUUGAACGCGAUUGAAUUACGAAAUUUGAUACAAAACCAGUCCAAAUCACCUCCAAUCUUCCUUAUAUUUUGUAUAUUGACUUAUCUAUAUGUUUUCAAUCAAUUUCAAUUAUACCCAUCGAAAAGGUUUCUUUCUACUUAGAUUUUUAAAAUAUUGUAUAUUUCUUUUUUUGCAUUUCAUCAUCUUAUUUGCUAACUUAUCCAUGAAAUUUCCUUUUCGUCUUGCAGCUAGUUUGCUAUAACGCUUAAAAAUAUCGAAAGUGAUUUUUGCAUGUGAUUCUUUGAGAGAAAGAACCUUAUUUAUUUGAAUUUUCAAUUUUUAUAUGCACUUGACUAGUUUUGAUAAAUCUAUUACUAAUGGCUAAAUGUUGGUAAGUUGAGAUUUAUUUGAGACAUUUAUGUGAGUUUCCUAAUAUUUUAAUGCAUUUUGCCUGUUUAGAUUGAAGAACAAAGAGUGAUUAUGUUUUGCCCUAAAAUUUAAUGGCUUAGGUGACAAGUAGUCUAUGUCUUUCUUAACAUAUCUAACUAACAUAUUAAUAACGUAAUUGAAUCAGCAAACUUAUCCGUAAUUUUGACCAAACAUAUUUGUUGGCUACUCCUGGGGUUCUUUCCGUCAAAAUAGGGUGGUUUCUCAACUUUAGAGAAUGGAAGGUUUAUAAAUUACCAAGAAAAAAAAUUGUAAGAGAGGGACACUGGACCUCCUUUUAUUUAAGACAGUCUGCCAGGGAAAGGAUCUUAAGUUGGAGUGGAAGGCUAUCCCCGAUCCUUCAUGAAACCUUCUUUAAAGCCUAUAUCGCAUCGUUUAAGGUAACCGUGUUCCAUAUUAGAUUCAUCGUUGGACGUUUUAGUAAAGUAUUUCUGAUUGAAAACGUCUUCAGUCUUAUCAAAGUGACAAAUUAUGCUGAACUUGCCAGGGUCUACCACGGAUAAAUAGUUCGCAUUACUUGAGUGAAGAUCGCUUAUGACAUCAACCUCUAUCGUUGUUUUCUCUCGCCCUCGAAGGGCUUCGGAGUAGGAUCCUUCGAAUGCGCCAACUAAGUAAUCAUCGCCAUCGGCAUGAAUUGUACCCUAUUUAAUGAUCGGCUUGGGGACUGCAUCCAAACCCUCCUCAAGGGGCUCCUCAAUACGAGGUAGGAUCGCAUCGGCCACCUCUGACUCAACAAUCUUCUACCCGACUCCCUUCGAAGCAUCAGCACUGCAUCUUGCCCUAUGUACUAGUGGGAAACCGUCUUUUUGAGUUCUCCUUCAACACGAAGGCUCUCAGCAGUUGCGAAGUUAGGACCGUUGUAUCGGCCCUAGGCUUUCAAGCCUUAGCUCUCUUUGGUUUCAGGGAAUCCGCCAGCGUCUCCUUCUUUCUCUAUCCUUGGUGGGUUUUUGGAUCUCCUGUUUGCCAAAAGGAGGCGAUCUCAUUGAAAUGGCUUGCCCGAGGCUUGCACAAGCGUAAAAUGUCAAACAUACUUCCAAGAAAUCUAUUUACAAGGAAUUUAGAGGUGAUAGUGGUGAGGACGUACCAUGGUUUUUGGCCACUACAACAAAAAGGGAUACUAGCGGCAAUAGAAAAGGUCAUUAGUAGCAAUACUAAUUGCCACUAUAUCAUUUGCCAACUAUUGAUCUUUAGCCGCUAAAUCUAGGGUCGACAAAGCCUUUAGCAACUAUUCUAACAAAUGCUGGUAAAAGGUAUAAUUUAUUAUCCCUAAAAAUCAUUAGCUUUAACGGCAAUUAUUUGCGGCCGUUAUGAUGGCUUCUAAAUCAAUUUCUAGAAUUGCAAAGUUUUCUCUUUUAGCGCCUAUUUUAAUUGUCAAUAAAUUAAAUUAAAUUAAAUUGCCACUAAAAAUUAUAUACUUUAACAACUAUUCUAAUGGCUGCUAAAUUCAUCUAGAUAAUGAUUUAGCUUGCACUACGUUCAUUUUUAUUAUUGAUAGAUCUAAUUAUAUUAUUGAGAAAUAUGACCCUUUUAGCAUAUAUGAAAGGUACAAUUUAACAACCUUAUUAUUGUAAUGAAAACUUUCUUUGAUUUGGCAAAUAGAAUAAUUAACAAGAACAUAAUAAUUUGUUAAAUCUAGGCAAUAAAGCAAGUAUUAAUCGAUAUUAUGAUUGUAUCAAUGACACAAAAUACAAACUAUAUUUUUUGAAUGAAAUAACUGAUGUCAUUACAACUAAUCCUAUUGAAUGCCUGCAAUAAUAAAAUAAUAGAUAAAGAAGUCCACAAACAAUUUCCAUAGCCCUUCAAAAUAUCGAAAUAUUCCAAAUGCUAAAUUUUUGGACAUCAUAAGUGUAUGACCUGAAAUAAUAAUAAAUGUAUGUUAAAAGAUGAAAUUAAGUGACAACAAUAACAAUAACAACAACCAAGUAUAAUUUCACAAAUAAAGUCUGUGGAGGAUAGAGUGUAUGAAGACUUUACCCAUACCCUAGGGUAGAGAGGUUAUUUCCAAUAGACCUUGCACAAGAAUAUAAAAGGCGGCAAUAGAAUAAUAACAACAUAACCAGGAAGAUAGUACCACCGAACUAAGAAUCAGAAAAUAGACCUGGCAAAGAAAUAUCACAUGACACUGCAUAUAAUAUGAAAAAGUAUCACAACCAUGACAAUUUAACUUACCUAUAUUAUUUAUUUUGAGGUCGAAUGACGACUACAUUGAGAAGGCAUACUGGAUAAAGAAAAUGUACUUAUCGCGCUAAUCUGAUGCAGCGAAUAAGAGAAUUGGCAUCAUGUAGAAUAUAAAAUAGAUAAACUCACUGCUAGUUCAGUAUCAUAACUUAGCUUCUGUUACAGGCUACACUAUAGUUGUAACCCAAAAAAUCAGUCACGCAAAUUUCCAUUCAGUUCCCACAAUGAACUUUUAAAAACUGAAUUGUUCUUGUUAAUUCCACUCUCUACCCUCCUCUUCUACAAAUAACCUGUUGUUCUCCAUUUUCCAUAAGUAAUCUUCCAAAAUGCGCGCAUUUAUUUCAUUGUUCCUCUAGUCAUAACCAUCUUUUCGAUGACACACAUAAAAUCAUAGACGGGAAGGGACAGUACCAAGAAGCCAUAUAAAAGCAGAAUAAAAACAACUAGAUAGUAAGGUGAUCAACAAUGAAAGAAACAACGGUUAGUCAUGUUAAAUUAUAUUUUCUCUUCAACUGAUUAACGACAUCCAUAUCUGAUCCCCAAAAGUGUUUAUCCACCCAAAGAGGGACAUGACAUUAUAGAAAGUAGAAUAAAGAACCUACCUAGGAUUCAAAGAACUUCAACCAAACAUAUGUCAGAACUUCCAGUUGAGGAACAUGAAAUUAUUAAGAUGAUAAUAAAAAAAUAUUGACAGAAGUAGGAAGAGAUCUGCCAGUAUAGAAAACAAAGAAUUAAAACGGUUCCACUAUAUUGCUCAUUGAAAUAGCGCCCUUGGAAUAUUUGAUUAAAGCAAUAUGGUGAAAUGCAAGAAGCCAUCCACUUAUAACUUUAACCUACAACAUAUUAUGACAUAAAAAGAGUAAAGUAAAUCAGAAAGACUUGUAUCAUUCGAGUGGCCCAUCAUCACAAAUAAACAGCUUUCUAACAUAAAUACAUGAUUUUGGGUGAUAUAACAUUCAAGUUAUUUACCAGGUCAUAGUAACCAGAGCAUUAGUCAAGGUGUUCUAAUUUGAAACAUGUCGGAUAAAAUAUCCACCAUCCUCUGCUCACCAAAUUCAUGAAAAAAUUUAAAAUGUGAACAAAAGUUGCAAUAGUAAACAAAUACCAUUCAUACUAGACCUUGUGACUAAUGCUUUCAAAUCUAUGUUGUUUACUAAAUCUGUAAUCAGGAUACCUUGCAAAUUAAAAUUAGAUAUCUUAACUUACCAUAGAACCUUAGAAUUCAGGAAACCCAUUGUUUCGAAAGCUUCACUCUAAAUUACUUUUUAUUUUGAUUUAAUUGUCAAAUUAAUGGAAAACAUCAUUUGAAACACCCUUCAUGAUUCCAGAUUCUUCCUCUUUCUCUAAAUUUUGGAAACUGUCAAGCCUAAAAAAUUAGACAUUUAUAAAAAUAAAUUUUCUAUAAAAUAAAAUGUGACGUUAGCACAUUGAAAAUACAUAUCCCGAUUCCGAUUAGGUUACAGAUGAUUAACCUAGAAACUUUUCCACAUCUCAUCAACCAUGAAAUCUUCUAAAGUGUAUUCUGACUGCAUGAAUCUUGACAUACUCCAUCAAAUCUUACCUUAUCAACCCAUAAUAUAAAAGAAAUAAAGAGAGGGAUAGAUUAAUAUUUUGUGUGUGAGCGACUAAGAGAGUGAGAGAGAGAUGAGUUGGGUUACUUGGGAUGGUGGUCGCAGUGAUGGAGAAAGAUGGGAUUAGUAGCAAAGUGACUGAGAGAGAUAAAAUCCAUUUUGCUUAUUUCUUUUGUCUAAGAUUUUUCUUUAAUUGAAUCCAUUAAAUUUACAGGGAAAAUAUUUGGAGGGAAUGGGUGAUGGUUGAGAAAAAGAUAGAUGGGAAAGAUGAAAUAAUGAAAAUUGUGUUCAAUUAUUGAAU
RNAcentral lists this long non-coding RNA (7904 nucleotides) under Nicotiana benthamiana. RNAcentral describes it as "long non-coding RNA (NBEN_LNC029905)". Lineage: Eukaryota; Viridiplantae; Streptophyta; Magnoliopsida; Solanales; Solanaceae. The record is from RNAcentral.